CGCAUCUUGCGCUCCUUGGUAUUCCGAGGAGCAUGCCUGUUUGAGUGUCAUGGUAUUCUCAAUCCAUUCUGGGUUUUUGAAAAGAAACUUGUUUGGAAUUGGAAUUGGAGGUUUUCUGUUGGUUAUAAUUUAUUGAUCAACUCCUCUGAAAUACAUUAGCAAGAAUGAAGUGCAUCUUCAGUGUGAUAAUUAUCUGCAUUGUGGAAUUGUGCUUAAAAUUCUAGCUUCUAAAGGUCUAUUCAUUUAGACAUUCAUUAUGACAUCUGACCUCAAAUCAGGUAGGAUUACCCGCUGAACUUAA
This 301-nucleotide unclassified non-coding RNA is filed under the name Neohypochnicium pini. RNAcentral's name for it is "Hypochnicium pini partial contains 5.8S ribosomal RNA, internal transcribed spacer 2, and large subunit ribosomal RNA". The record is from RNAcentral. Lineage: Eukaryota; Fungi; Basidiomycota; Agaricomycetes; Polyporales.